UACGAGUGCCCCAAGCGUUAUCCGGAAUUACUGGGCGUAAAGGGUGUGUAGGUGGUUGUGUUAGUCUCUCGUUAAAUUCUUCGGCUUAACCGGGGGCAUGCGGGGGAAACGGCACGACUAGAGGAUAUAAGGGGUCUGCGGAACUCAUGGAGUAGGGGUGAAAUCCGUUGAUAUCAUGGGGAACACCAAAAGCGAAGGCAGCAGACUGGUAUAUUCCUGACACUGAAACACGAAAGCGUAGGUAGCGAAUGGG
RNAcentral lists this ribosomal RNA (253 nucleotides) under uncultured bacterium. Its description in RNAcentral is "partial 16S ribosomal RNA". It matches the Rfam family "Bacterial small subunit ribosomal RNA", at positions 524 to 776 of the family's 1533-position model. The record is from RNAcentral.